This 21-nucleotide non-coding RNA is filed under the name Caenorhabditis elegans. The record is from RNAcentral. Lineage: Eukaryota; Metazoa; Nematoda; Chromadorea; Rhabditida; Rhabditidae.
UGAUACUUCCAGUGUUUGUGA